GAUGAACGCUGGCGGCGUGCUUAACACAUGCAAGUCGAACGGAUUUAACAGAAAGCUUGCUUUCGGUUAAAUUAGUGGCGGACGGGUGAGUAACGCGUGGAUAACCUGCCGUAUACAGGGGGAUAACACUUAGAAAUAGGUGCUAAUACCGCAUAAGCGCACAGUUUCGCAUGAGACAGUGUGAAAAACUCCGGUGGUAUACGAUGGAUCCGCGUCUGAUUAGGUAGUUGGUGGGGUAACGGCCCACCAAGCCGACGAUCAGUAGCCGGCCUGAGAGGGUGAACGGCCACAUUGGGACUGAGACACGGCCCAAACUCCUACGGAGGCAGCAGUGGGGAAUAUUGCACAAUGGGGGAAACCCUGAUGCAGCGACGCCGCGUGAGUGAAGAAGUAUUUCGGUAUGUAAAGCUCUAUCAGCAGGGAAGAAAAUGACGUACCUGACUAAGAAGCUCCGGCUAAAUACGUG
Molecule: ribosomal RNA, 466 nt
Filed under: uncultured bacterium
Lineage: Bacteria
Description: bacterial SSU rRNA
Rfam family: Bacterial small subunit ribosomal RNA
Source: RNAcentral